UACGUAGGGUGCAAGCGUAUCCGGAAUUAUUGGGCGUAAAGAGCUCGUAGGCGGUUUGUCGCGUCUGCUGUGAAAACCUAAGGCUCAACCUUGGGCUUGCAGUGGGUACGGGCAGACUAGAGUGCGGUAGGGGUGACUGGAAUUCCUGGUGUAGCGGUGGAAUGCGCAGAUAUCAGGAGGAACACCGAGUGGGCGAAGGC
RNAcentral lists this ribosomal RNA (200 nucleotides) under uncultured bacterium. RNAcentral's name for it is "partial 16S ribosomal RNA". It matches the Rfam family "Bacterial small subunit ribosomal RNA", at positions 524 to 722 of the family's 1533-position model. The record is from RNAcentral.